Molecule: long non-coding RNA, 2961 nt
Organism: Numida meleagris (helmeted guineafowl)
Lineage: Eukaryota; Metazoa; Chordata; Aves; Galliformes; Numididae
Exons: 7
Source: RefSeq, a predicted model, not a curated record
CAUUGUUGUAGCAUUGUUUUUAAUGGUGCCUGAGGGAUUUUGCAGCCAGGUUUUCAGCUGAGAUUCAGACUGACGUCACGCCUUCUAGAAUUCGGAUCAGCCACCACAACCUGCAAUCUCUCCACCAUUUGGGGCACUCACAUCAUGUCCAGAUCUGCAGAAAUCAGAGUUAAGUCCCAUGCCAUGGACCUGGGCUGCAAGUUGUAUUUCUUGGCAGAUACUUCAUUUUAUGUAUUAUUUAAUUCUUUUUACAAAUUAAGGAAGAUGUGGGAAUGUUGUAGAGCAUCUCUCCACUUGCACUUUUCAUCUCCGAGCCCAUGCUUUUCUGAUUUGUAUCUGAGUGCUUCAGCUCUGUUGGUCUCAGCAGUUGUUCUUUGUAGUUUCUCUGCAGAAGCCGCUGUGUGCAAGGCGGGAGGUCUGUGAUGUGACACCCAGCAAGAGAGCCCCGUGCCCCAGUGGCAUUCAGAUCUAAAGAAAAAGUUACCCUGUGUUUUUCUUGUCCAACCACAGGGACUUCCGCCAUGCCAAAAAACCACUCCAUGGCUGCUUCAACACUCAGAGGCCAGCCCACGAUCGCUGGGUGACCACACACACACUGUGUGGGAGGUGUUGUUCCAUUACUCCAUUGGAAAGCAUACCCCUGUUCCUGGCCGUCAGAAACAUGGCACUGCUGAGUGAUGAAACUGCUGUUUCAUGAGAAAAUGAGCUGGAAAAUGAAGAAUGCAAAAAGGUGGUGAGUUAGGUCAAGCAGCCUCACCACAGCAGCAAGAGUAGCUAGGUUGUACCCUGGUGACCGACUCUGAAAUGGAGUGAUGAGUUGGUGAAUGAGAUGAAGUAAGGAAUCCCUUAGGCUUCAGCCUCUUUCAUAUGGCCCUUAGCUCUCUAGUCCAGGCAUGCCCAACCCGCAGGCCGUGUGCUGCCCGGGCCAGCCCAGCCUGCAUCCUACCCCUGCCCGUGCCAUCAUGGCAGCGGCCCGGCCCCAUACGUGCACCCGUCGCUGACACAGCCAAAGACUGGAGUGUGAUUGGCACUGCAUCAGCAAAACCAGGAGGUGGGCAGGGCACAGUGCCACAUUAUCUCCACCUCUCGUGCCCAGCAUGCACACGCAGUUAAAUCAAAACCUGUGUGUGUGACCGAGGUGUGCCACUGGGUGACUGAGAUGCAGUAAUUACCCGCAGUAACAUUUCAGCCUUCCAUUUGUCUUGCCUCAGGAGGUACCAGAGCCCCCCAAAGAAGAAAAAUUGUGGUUGAAGGAGAAGUGUUUGAUGACAAAUGGACAGAUGUGUACUUGUCUGUUGAGCAAAUCUGAUGGCAGAAGAAGCAGAAGCAUCUUCUGGUGGGGAGUUUAUUGAGCAACGUAUGGACAGCAUCAGAGCUGCAAUCUGCCCUGAUUACAACACAGAUUUUUCUAAAAUCCAUUGGUUUCACUCAACUGUUGCCAGGUGGACUGAAGAAAUGGGCACAUUUGUCGCAAGAAAGUUGGAGAGUAAAGCUGCUAAUUCCAAAAGUUGUCCUCUGGCAAGGGCUGAAAUUACUGAUGCUACAGAUACGACUCAACUUGCUGUCUUCAUAGAAGCACUGUUUUUAAUGGUGCCUGAGAGAUCUUGUUGCUGUGUCUUCAGCUGAGAUUCAGACUGACAACGAUCCUUCUAGAAAUUGGAUGAAUCACCACAGACUGAUGUUUCCCACUCACUUCAUGUCCAGAAAACAAGAUUAACGAAGACCUGGGAAUGUUUUACAGCAUCUAUCCAUCUGCACCUUUUCUCUGAGUCCAUGCAUUGCUGACCUGUAGCUGAGUUCUGCAGCUCAGCUGUUCUCUGCAACUCUUCUUUGUAGUUUCUCUUCAGAAGCCGCUGUGUGCAAGGCAGGAGCUCUGUGAUGUGACACUCAUCAAGACAGCCCCAUGUCCCAGUGCCUCCAGGACCUCCUCCCUGCCAAAUAGAUGUGUCAACCUUCAGGGCCUUUGCUGCUGCCUCUAGGUGACCACUCACACGUUGAAAUCUCAACUGAUCCAAGAGAAGGAAAGAAGCAAUUUGCUGAAUGCCCAGAGCACCAACACAGAGCUACCUCCGAGCCAGCAGCGUGCAACUGCUUGGAGACUGCCUAUGCCAGUCGGCCAGACCUACAGGAAGAACCACUGGAUGAUGCUGAGGAUUCCUGGAUUCAUCGACAGAAGCAGUUUUGUGAGUCAAGGAAACUGUAAGGCAGGAUAUGCCACUACUGACACGGUAAUAGAAGCAAAACCAUUACCUGUGGGGACUUGCACUCAGGAGGCCGAAAUAACUGCCUUGACAAGAGCCUUAAAGAUACGGACAGAUGCUAAAUAUGGGUUUGGAGUGGAAUAUGCUUAUAGUACCACCUGGAAAGAGCAAGGAUUGCUCACACACAAGGAAAACAAAUUCAGCAUGGUGUAAAUCUAUGAAAAAGCGUGGCUAUUAUAUAUUGCAAAGGACAUCAGAAAGGUAACACUGUACAGAAAACUGGAAAUAAGAUGACGGAUCAGGUGGUGGAACAGGCAGCUGAAGGAAAAGAAAUUGUUGAACUGGCUUUAAUUCCAGACGGUAAACUUCAAAUUUCUGAACCCUAGUCAGAAGGUGUGAAGUAUUUUAGAGGGGAUAGGAAUCUAAUUAAUGGUUUGGAAGGGAAGAGAGCAAGCUGACAGAUAGGUGCAUACCCAGAUGGACACAUUGUUAUGCCCAUUAGUAUUUUAUGGAAAUUGGUCCUAAGGAAACAUAGUAAAACAUAUUGGGGGAACAGACGCUACGAAGUAUUUGCACGAUCUGAGUACCAGGAACAGGGAACCUUCCAGGGCAACAAUGGCAAACUGAUUUUUCAGAAUUGCCAAGAAAAGGGGGGUCCUGUUAUAUGCUAGUUCUAACCAAUAUCUUUUCAGGAUGGCCGGAGGCAUUCCCUUGCAGAAUUAAUAAGGCUAGGGAGGUGACAAGAAUUUUGUUACAAGGA